CAGGUCUUGACAUCCCACUGACCGGCUUAGAGAUAGGCUUUUCCCUUCGGGGACAGUGGUGACAGGUGGUGCAUGGUUGUCGUCAGCUCGUGUCGUGAGAUGUUGGGUUAAGUCCCGCAACGAGCGCAACCCUUGAUCUUAGUUGCCAGCAUUCAGUUGGGCACUCUAAGGUGACUGCCGGUGAUAAACCGGAGGAAGGUGGGGAUGACGUCAAAUCAUCAUGCCCCUUAUGACCUGGGCUACACACGUGCUACAAUGGACGAUACAAAGGGCUGCAAACCCGCGAGGGGGAGCCAAUCCCAUAAAAUCGUUCUCAGUUCGGAUUGUAGGCUGCAACUCGCCUACAUGAAGCCGGAAUCGCUAGUAAUCGUGGAUCAGCAUGCCACGGUGAAUGCGUUCCC
This 401-nucleotide ribosomal RNA is filed under the name uncultured bacterium. Its description in RNAcentral is "bacterial SSU rRNA". It matches the Rfam family "Bacterial small subunit ribosomal RNA", at positions 975 to 1375 of the family's 1533-position model. The record is from RNAcentral.